RNAcentral lists this ribosomal RNA (826 nucleotides) under marine metagenome. RNAcentral's name for it is "bacterial SSU rRNA". It matches the Rfam family "Bacterial small subunit ribosomal RNA", at positions 683 to 1520 of the family's 1533-position model. The record is from RNAcentral.
UGAAUUCGUAGAUAUUAGAAAGAAUACCAAUUGCGAAGGCAGCUUUCUGGAUCAUUACUGACACUGAGGAACGAAAGCAUGGGUAGCGAAGAGGAUUAGAUACCCUCGUAGUCCAUGCCGUAAACGAUGUGUGUUAGACGUUGGAAAUUUAUUUUCAGUGUCGCAGCGAAAGCGAUAAACACACCGCCUGGGGAGUACGACCGCAAGGUUAAAACUCAAAUGAAUUGACGGGGACCCGCACAAGUAGUGGAGCAUGUGGUUUAAUUCGAAGAUACGCGCAGAACCUUACCAACACUUGACAUGUUCGUCGCAACUUUAAGAGAUUAAAGUUUUCGGUUCGGCCGGACGAAACACAGGUGCUGCAUGGCUGUCGUCAGCUCGUGUCGUGAGAUGUUGGGUUAAGUCCCGCAACGAGCGCAACCCUCACUUUUAGUUGCCAUCAUUAAGUUGGGCACUCUGAAAGAACUGCCAGUGAUAAGCUGGAGGAAGGUGGGGAUGACGUCAAGUCCUCAUGGCCCUUACGUGUUGGGCUACACACGUGCUACAAUGGUAUCUACAACAGGAAGCAAGACGGCGACGUUAAGCAAAUCCUUAAAAGAUACCUCAGUUCGGAUUGCACUCUGCAACUCGAGUGCAUGAAGCUGGAAUUACUAGUAAUCGUGGAUCAGCGUGCCACGGUGAAUGCGUUCCCGGGUCUUGUACACACCGCCCGUCACACCAUGGGAGUUGGUUCUACCUUAAGGCAAGGUUUAAAACCCUUGACCACGGUAUAGUCAGCGACUGGGGUGAAGUCGUAACAAGGUAGCCGUAGGGGAACCUGCGGCUG